UACGAAGGGGGCUAGCGUUGCUCGGAAUUACUGGGCGUAAAGCGCACGUAGGCGGUCUUUUAAGUCGGGGGUGAAAUCCUGGAGCUCAACUCCAGAACUGCCUUCGAUACUGGAAGACUCGAGUCCGGGAGAGGUGAGUGGAACUGCGAGUGUAGAGGUGAAAUUCGUAGAUAUUCGCAAGAACACCAGUGGCGAAGGCGGCUCACUGGCCCGGUACUGACGCUGAGGUGCGAAGGCUAGGGGAGCGAACGGGG
Molecule: ribosomal RNA, 254 nt
Filed under: uncultured bacterium
Lineage: Bacteria
Description: partial 16S ribosomal RNA
Rfam family: Bacterial small subunit ribosomal RNA
Source: RNAcentral